Non-coding RNA from Caenorhabditis elegans, 21 nucleotides. The record is from Ensembl. Lineage: Eukaryota; Metazoa; Nematoda; Chromadorea; Rhabditida; Rhabditidae.
UCGUAGCGUAGCAUGAUUUUU